AACGAAAAGAGGGAAAGAGCUUGCUCUUUCCGGAAUUGAGUGGCAAACGGGUGAGUAACACGUAAACAACCUGCCUUCAGGAUGGGGAUAACAACGGGAAACUGUUGCUAAUACCGCAUGAGACCACAACACCGCAUGAUGAAGGGGUCAAAGAUUUAUCGCUUUGAGAGGGGUUCGCGUCCCAUUAGGUAGUUGGAGGGGUAACGGCCCACCAAGCCAACGAUGGGUAGCCGAGCUGAGAGGCUGAUCGGCCACACUGGAACUGAGACACGGUCCAGACUCC
RNAcentral lists this ribosomal RNA (283 nucleotides) under uncultured bacterium. RNAcentral's name for it is "partial 16S ribosomal RNA". It matches the Rfam family "Bacterial small subunit ribosomal RNA", at positions 65 to 339 of the family's 1533-position model. The record is from RNAcentral.